UCUCCAAAUUGAGAAUAAAUCUAAUUUGACAGAGUGGAUACUGAGUGGAGAUCCUUUACAAUCAAAUUUUCUCCAAAAAAAGAAAAGAAAAAGGCAAAUAGGAAUUUAAGACUCUCCCUUCCUAUUUAUAAACCCCAUUAUUUCUUUGGAGUAAGUAGUAACAAACAUUAUAGAGCUUAGGCAUUUUUAUAGAUAGAAAAAAAAAAAGGUUUCAAGAAAGAAGAAGAAAAAAAAAAAUGGAGGUGUUGAGACUAUGUUUAAUGGCUAUAUUUGGUUUGGUUAUGGCAUUGGUUGUUCCUUCUAUCAAUGCUCAAGUGCCUGAACCUGCUCCUGCCCCUACAAGUGAUGGAGUUGCAAUUGAUCAAGGUAUAGCUUAUGUGCUAAUGUUGGUUGCUUUGGCAAUUACUUACAUGAUUCACUAAGCAAUAUGUACAGCAUCCGUUGCAGUUUUUCUUUCUAUUUUUUUUUUAAAAAUUAUUCUGGUUGUGAUUUUUUUUUUUUUUUUUAAAUUGUAGGCAAUGAAUUAAUCAUGUUUUAAGAAUUAUUUCUUUGUAUUCUUUUUGGAGGUUGAAAUCCUCUAUUUCUUCCAUUCAAUGAUUAAAUUGUAGACAUUCUUUAUAAUCCUUUAUAUUUUUUAAUUUAUUUUUAUACCA
Long non-coding RNA from Capsicum annuum, 653 nucleotides. RefSeq lists it as uncharacterized. The record is from RefSeq and is a predicted model, not a curated record. The transcript is spliced from 2 exons. Lineage: Eukaryota; Viridiplantae; Streptophyta; Magnoliopsida; Solanales; Solanaceae.